RNAcentral lists this ribosomal RNA (156 nucleotides) under uncultured Bacillota bacterium. RNAcentral describes it as "uncultured Firmicutes bacterium partial 16S ribosomal RNA". It matches the Rfam family "Bacterial small subunit ribosomal RNA", at positions 367 to 514 of the family's 1533-position model. Lineage: Bacteria; Bacillati; Bacillota. The record is from RNAcentral.
CGCAAUGGACGAAAGUCUGACGGAGCAACGCCGCGUGAGCGAAGAAGGUCUUCGGAUCGUAAAGCUCUGUUGUUAGGGAAGAACAAGUACCGUUCGAAUAGGGCGGUACCUUGACGGUACCUAACCAGAAAGCCACGGCUAACUACGUGCCAGCAG